Molecule: ribosomal RNA, 242 nt
Filed under: uncultured Debaryomyces
Lineage: Eukaryota; Fungi; Ascomycota; Saccharomycetes; Saccharomycetales; Saccharomycetaceae
Description: partial 26S ribosomal RNA
Rfam family: Eukaryotic large subunit ribosomal RNA
Source: RNAcentral
UGCAUAUCAAUAAGCGCGGAGGAAAAGAAACCAACAGGGAUUGCCUUAGUAACGGCGAGUGAAGCGGCAAAAGCUCAAAUUUGAAAUCUGGCACCUUCGGUGUCCGAGUUGUAAUUUGAAGAAGGUAACUUUGGAGUUGGCUCUUGUCUAUGUUCCUUGGAACAGGACGUCACAGAGGGUGAGAAUCCCGUGCGAUGAGAUGCCCAAUUCUAUGUAAAGUGCUUUCGAAGAGUCGAGUUGUU